AAUAGAUACCCGGGUAGUCCACGCCGUAAAACGAUGAGUGCUAAGUGUUAGAGGGCUUCCACCCUUUAGUGCUGCAGCUAACGCAUUAAGCACUCCGCCUGGGGAGUACGGCCGCAAGGCUGAAACUCAAAGGAAUUGACGGGGGCCCGCACAAGCGGUGGAGCAUGUGGUUUAAUUCGAAGCAACGCGAAGAACCUUACCAGGUCUUGACAUCCUUCGCUACCUCUAGAGAUAGAGGGUUCCCCUUCGGGGGACGGAGUGACAGGUGGUGCAUGGUUGUCGUCAGCUCGUGUCGUGAGAUGUUGGGUUAAGUCCCGCAACGAGCGCAACCCUUGACCUUAGUUGCCAGCAUUCAGUUGGGCACUCUAAGGUGACUGCCGGUGACAAACCGGAGGAAGGUGGGGAUGACGUCAAAUCAUCAUGCCCCUUAUGACCUGGGCUACACACGUGCUACAAUGGAUGGUACAAAGGGUCGCGAAACCGCGAGGUGGAGCCAAUCCCAAAAAAACCAUUCUCAGUUCGGAUUGGGGUCUGCAACUCGACCCC
Molecule: ribosomal RNA, 546 nt
Filed under: uncultured bacterium
Lineage: Bacteria
Description: bacterial SSU rRNA
Rfam family: Bacterial small subunit ribosomal RNA
Source: RNAcentral